AAGUUGUAAACCUCGGGGGUUUUUUUUUCGGGGGGGGGGGGCAGGGAGGGAUCAUUACCGAGUUUACAACUCCCAAACCCAAUGUGAACGUUACCAAACUGUUGCCUCGGCGGGAUCUCUGCCCCGGGUGCGUCGCAGCCCCGGACCAAGGCGCCCGCCGGAGGACCAACCAAAACUCUUUUUGUAUACCCCCUCGCGGGUUUUUUUUAUAAUCUGAGCCUUCUCGGCGCCUCUCGUAGGCGUUUCGAAAAUGAAUCAAAACUUUCAACAACGGAUCUCUUGGUUCUGGCAUCGAUGAAGAACGCAGCGAAAUGCGAUAAGUAAUGUGAAUUGCAGAAUUCAGUGAAUCAUCGAAUCUUUGAACGCACAUUGCGCCCGCCAGUAUUCUGGCGGGCAUGCCUGUCCGAGCGUCAUUUCAACCCUCGAACCCCUCCGGGGGGUCGGCGUUGGGGAUCGGCCCUCCCUUAGCGGGCGGCCGUCUCCGAAAUACAGUGGCGGUCUCGCCGCAGCCUCUCCUGCGCAGUAGUUUGCACACUCGCAUCGGGAGCGCGGCGCGUCCACAGCCGUUAAACACCCAACUUCUGAAAUGUGACCUCGGAUCAGGUAGGAAUCCCCAAUUU
RNAcentral lists this ribosomal RNA (620 nucleotides) under Trichoderma harzianum. Its description in RNAcentral is "eukaryotic LSU rRNA". The stretch from base 260 to 413 matches the Rfam family "5.8S ribosomal RNA". Lineage: Eukaryota; Fungi; Ascomycota; Sordariomycetes; Hypocreales; Hypocreaceae. The record is from RNAcentral.